This is a long non-coding RNA of Apteryx owenii (little spotted kiwi), 451 nucleotides long. The record is from Ensembl. Lineage: Eukaryota; Metazoa; Chordata; Aves; Apterygiformes; Apterygidae.
CAGAAAUCUUUCAAAACUGACGCUGUGCUUUUCUGCAGUGCCACAACGGCUCGUAACGGCUUAAAGUCAGUUUUUAACACGGAGGAAUUCUUAAGCGGUCGUGACCCCGCUGGAUUUAAGGGAGAUCAGUUCAGCCUGCAGCGCAACCCGGAGCGCAGGGAAACCGCCUGGGGACAACUUCUUAUCCACUUCUCUGAGAGAGCUCGACGACCAUCCGUGGGACGAACGAAGAGCAGAAAUGAGAACUGGUCCCUGCCCAGUGACCGGGCACAGAGCGUGGAGGCCAGGCCUUUGGGUGCUGCACGUGCCCCUGAUGCCAGCUGCGCUGCUCCUCCUCCUCGGCCCGGCUGGCAACAUCUCUGAGCCUGCUCUGUUGCCAUUCCCAGGUGAGAGUCUCCUCUUAGAGCUGCUUUUCUCUGGAAAGUUUUGUAGUUGAAAAAAAUGCAUUUUU